UCCCUACCUCUCCCCAGGCGGGGAGGGAAACCCGCCAACGAUGGGUGCCGAUGCACCCUCGACUCCCUUAAGUCCGUCCUCACUGGCUGGCACCUCCUAGCCGAAUUGCAGAUAUCACACGCGGCCGCGAGCAUGCCUAGAGGGCAAUUCGCUAGUGACGUAUUACUUCACUGGGUCGUUUUAACGUCGUGGGAAACCU
RNAcentral lists this ribosomal RNA (199 nucleotides) under uncultured bacterium. Its description in RNAcentral is "partial 16S ribosomal RNA". The record is from RNAcentral.